RNAcentral lists this transfer RNA (75 nucleotides) under Oscillospiraceae bacterium. Its description in RNAcentral is "tRNA-Arg". It matches the Rfam family "tRNA". Rfam says of the family: Transfer RNA (tRNA) molecules are approximately 80 nucleotides in length. Their secondary structure includes four short double-helical elements and three loops (D, anti-codon, and T loops). Further hydrogen bonds mediate the characteristic L-shaped molecular structure. tRNAs have two regions of fundamental functional importance: the anti-codon, which is responsible for specific mRNA codon recognition, and the 3' end, to which the tRNAs corresponding amino acid is attached (by aminoacyl-tRNA synthetases). tRNAs cope with the degeneracy of the genetic code in two manners: having more than one tRNA (with a specific anti-codon) for a particular amino acid; and 'wobble' base-pairing, i.e. permitting non-standard base-pairing at the 3rd anti-codon position. Lineage: Bacteria; Bacillati; Bacillota; Clostridia; Eubacteriales; Oscillospiraceae. The record is from RNAcentral.
GCCUCCAUAGUUCAAGGGAUAGAACGCGGACCUCCUAAGUCUGAGAUACAGGUUCGAGUCCUGUUGGGGGUACCA